AGUGAACGCUGGCGGUAGGCCUAACACAUGCGAGUCGAACGGCAGCACAGUAAGAGCUUGCUCUUACGGGUGGCGAGUGGCGGACGGGUGAGGAAUACAUCGGAAUCUACUUUUUCGUGGGGGAUAACGUAGGGAAACUUACGCUAAUACCGCAUACGACCUACGGGUGAAAGCAGGGGAUCUUCGGACCUUGCGCGAUUGAAUGAGCCGAUGUCGGAUUAGCUAGUUGGCGGAGUAAAGGCCCACCAAGGCGACGAUCCGUAGCUGGUCUGAGAGGAUGAUCAGCCACACUGGAACUGAGACACGGUCCAGACUCCUACGGGAGGCAGCAGUGGGGAAUAUUGGACAAUGGGCGCAAGCCUGAUCCAGCCAUACCGCGUGGGUGAAGAAGGCCUUCGGGUUGUAAAGCCCUUUUGUUGGGAAAGAAAAGCAGCAGGUUAAUACCCCGCUGUUCUGACGGUACCCAAAGAAUAAGCACCGGCUAACUUCGUG
This 492-nucleotide ribosomal RNA is filed under the name uncultured bacterium. RNAcentral's name for it is "partial 16S ribosomal RNA". It matches the Rfam family "Bacterial small subunit ribosomal RNA", at positions 29 to 507 of the family's 1533-position model. The record is from RNAcentral.